GCUUUGAAGCGUAAUCGAAGUGGAUUUUUUAUGUUGUUGAGGUGGCUAGUUUCAUUUUGGGUGUUUGUGAUGGCAUAUGAGCAAAUCGGUCUCUUUGGAUCAGUUGCUCUUCUUGCUUUGGGGUUUAUGUUUCCUGUUAACAGUGUUGAGUCUACGAUGGAUGCAGUAACGUCUUUCAGGAGUCAUAGUUUUCGUAGACUGUCGAUAUCUGCUUUCUUCACUAGAGGGAUAUUGAAAAGAUUGAAAACCAUUGUGGCGGUAGGACUUAUUAUUGGGCUGAGCGUAGGUUCUUU
This 293-nucleotide unclassified non-coding RNA is filed under the name Hevea brasiliensis (rubber tree). Lineage: Eukaryota; Viridiplantae; Streptophyta; Magnoliopsida; Malpighiales; Euphorbiaceae. The record is from RNAcentral.